This 476-nucleotide ribosomal RNA is filed under the name uncultured Geobacillus sp. Its description in RNAcentral is "bacterial SSU rRNA". It matches the Rfam family "Bacterial small subunit ribosomal RNA", at positions 57 to 507 of the family's 1533-position model. The record is from RNAcentral. Lineage: Bacteria; Bacillati; Bacillota; Bacilli; Caryophanales; Anoxybacillaceae.
GCAAGUCCGAGCGGACCGAACGUAGGGCUUGCUCUUGUUUGGUCAGCGGCGGACGGGUGAGUAACACGUGGGCGAACCUGCCCGCAAGACCGGGAGUAACUCCGGGAAACCGGAAGCUAAUACCGGAUAACACCGAAGACCGCAUGGUCUUCGGUUGAAGGCGGCCUUUGGGCUGUCACUUGCGGAUGGGCCCGCGGCGCAUUAGCUAGUUGGUGAGGUAACGGCUCACCAAGGCGACGAUGCGUAGCCGGCCUGAGAGGGUGACCGGCCACACUGGGACUGAGACACGGCCCAGACUCCUACGGGAGGCAGCAGUAGGGAGUCUUCCGCAAUGGGCGAAAGCCUGACGGAGCGACGCCGCGUGAGCGAAGAAGGCCUUCGGGUCGUAAAGCUCUGUUGUGAGGGACGAAGGAGCGCCGUUCGAAGAGGGCGGCGCGGUGACGGUACCUCACGAGAAAGCCCCGGCUAACUACGUG